Molecule: ribosomal RNA, 433 nt
Filed under: uncultured bacterium
Lineage: Bacteria
Description: partial 16S ribosomal RNA
Rfam family: Bacterial small subunit ribosomal RNA
Source: RNAcentral
AACGAACGCUGGCGGCAUGCCUAACACAUGCAAGUCGAACGAGACCUUCGGGUCUAGUGGCGCACGGGUGCGUAACGCGUGGGAACCUGCACUUAGGUUCGGAAUAACUCCCCGAAAGGGGUGCUAAUACCGGAUAAUGUCUUCGGACCAAAGAUUUAUCGCCUUUGGAUGGGCCCGCGUUGGAUUAGCUGGUUGGUAGGGUAAAAGCCUACCAAGGCGACGAUCCAUAGCUGGUCUGAGAGGAUGAUCAGCCACACUGGGACUGAGACACGGCCCAGACUCCUACGGGAGGCAGCAGUGGGGAAUAUUGGACAAUGGGCGAAAGCCUGAUCCAGCAAUGCCGCGGAAGUGAUGAAGGCCUUAGGGUUGUAAAGCUCUUUUACCCGGGAUGAUAAUGACAGUACCGGGAGAAUAAGCUCCGGCUAACUCCGUG